This 57-nucleotide transfer RNA is filed under the name Cricetulus griseus (Chinese hamster). It matches the Rfam family "tRNA", at positions 9 to 63 of the family's 71-position model. From Rfam's summary of the family: Transfer RNA (tRNA) molecules are approximately 80 nucleotides in length. Their secondary structure includes four short double-helical elements and three loops (D, anti-codon, and T loops). Lineage: Eukaryota; Metazoa; Chordata; Mammalia; Rodentia; Cricetidae. The record is from Rfam by way of RNAcentral.
AGCUCAGUUGGUAGAGUGCUUGCUUUGCAUGCAAGAGGCCCUGGGUUUGAUAUCCAG